RNAcentral lists this ribosomal RNA (425 nucleotides) under uncultured bacterium. Its description in RNAcentral is "partial 16S ribosomal RNA". It matches the Rfam family "Bacterial small subunit ribosomal RNA", at positions 354 to 796 of the family's 1533-position model. The record is from RNAcentral.
GUGGGGAAUCUUGCGCAAUGGGCGAAAGCCUGACGCAGCCAUGCCGCGUGAAUGAUGAAGGUCUUAGGAUUGUAAAAUUCUUUCACCGGUGAAGAUAAUGACUGUAGCCGGAGAAGAAGCCCCGGCUAACUUCGUGCCAGCAGCCGCGGUAAUACGAAGGGGGCUAGCGUUGCUCGGAUUUACUGGGCGUAAAGGGCGCGUAGGCGGACAGCUUAGUCAGAGGUGAAAGCCCAGGGCUCAACCUUGGAAUUGCCUUUGAUACUGGCUGUCUUGAGUUUGGGAGAGGUGAGUGGAACUCCGAGUGUGGAGGUGAAAUUCGUAGAUAUUCGGAAGAACACCAGUGGCGAAGGCGACUCACUGGCCCAAUACUGACGCUGAGGCGCGAAAGCGUGGGGAGCAAACAGGAUUAGAUACCCUGGUAGUCC